RNAcentral lists this ribosomal RNA (261 nucleotides) under uncultured bacterium. RNAcentral describes it as "partial 16S ribosomal RNA". It matches the Rfam family "Bacterial small subunit ribosomal RNA", at positions 92 to 354 of the family's 1533-position model. The record is from RNAcentral.
CGACCGGCGCACGGGUGAGUAACACGUAUCCAGCCUGCCGAUGACUCGGGGAUAGCCUUUCGAAAGAAAGAUUAAUACCCGAUGGCAUAGUUCUUCCGCAUGGUAGAACUAUUAAAGAAUUUCGGUCAUCGAUGGGGAUGCGUUCCAUUAGCUUGUUGGCGGGGUAACGGCCCACCAAGGCAUCGAUGGAUAGGGGUUCUGAGAGGAAGGUCCCCCACAUUGGAACUGAGACACGGUCCAAACUCCUACGGGAGGCAGCAG